Molecule: long non-coding RNA, 468 nt
Organism: Nematolebias whitei (Rio pearlfish)
Lineage: Eukaryota; Metazoa; Chordata; Actinopteri; Cyprinodontiformes; Rivulidae
Exons: 4
Source: RefSeq, a predicted model, not a curated record
AAACUGAAAAUUGCUCUCUCGUGCAACCUGACCACAAUCAAAGGAGCGUGCUGCUCUGGUUACUUUUACCAGGUCACCUUUCAGCAGGACACUUUACCAGAAUCUGGUGUGGUCAGAGUGAAAACAUGAAGCCAGUGAUUCUUGCAGUUUUGGUUUUGGUGCUUGUCAGCCAGAGUGAAGCCCUGAAAUGUUACUGUGGCGGUGCCAUAUACUGUCCACAUCCUGUAGUUUCAUGCUCCAUAGACGACCAAGUCUGUGGCCACGUCGUCUACCACGAUCACCCUUCGCAUUUCAUCAAAGGCUGCUACCAUGCACCUGACUGCAGGAAGCUGAAUCAUCCUCCUCGUGUAACUGCCACUUGCUGCCGGACGAACCUUUGCAACUAAUUGUCAUCAAGCAAAAUAUCUUCUGAUGACGCAAUGGUCUGAAGCUGCAUUCCUUUCAAAAUAAAAUCCAAAUAAAAACUAA